This is a long non-coding RNA of Gambusia affinis (western mosquitofish), 312 nucleotides long. RefSeq lists it as uncharacterized. NCBI's taxonomy places the organism in Eukaryota, Metazoa, Chordata, Actinopteri, Cyprinodontiformes, Poeciliidae. The transcript is spliced from 3 exons. The record is from RefSeq and is a predicted model, not a curated record.
UGAAGGAGAGCCGGGCUCUUAAAGGGACAGUGAGGCUGGACUGGGGGACAGUCUUCAAUCAGCAUUCACAGAAAAACCCGACAGGAGACUGGAUAUGCUCUGGUCUCGCCUCUGUUUGGAAUGAAAAUCACGCUUCGCAAUGAAAGGAACCAAGACUUCAGGCGUUUCAGGAAAUCCUUCCCAGGAAGAAAAGGGAAAGUUUGAGUAAUCCUGAGCUCUGCUGAGCAGGAGGAGGUGAGUUUGAUGGGAGCAGCUCGUUUUUACCUCACACGGCAGCGGCAGCCAGGUUACCGUCAGAUAGGUGUGUAACAU